RNAcentral lists this long non-coding RNA (303 nucleotides) under Nicotiana benthamiana. RNAcentral describes it as "long non-coding RNA (NBEN_LNC001756)". Lineage: Eukaryota; Viridiplantae; Streptophyta; Magnoliopsida; Solanales; Solanaceae. The record is from RNAcentral.
CUAUUGCUAUUGUUCUUGUUCUAUUGUUCUUGUCUUUUGCUUUAGUUUAUAACAAAUAUGAUAUAUAUACCAUUAUUGUCAUAGUGCUCUCAAAAGUUAUUAUAUCAGUCAUUCUCCUUGACAACUGUUAUUCUCUAGAAAGCAGGCACAGGUAUUUCAGAUUGUGCUUGAACUAAUGGGUUAGGUACUGGGUAGAUAACUUAAUAGAUGUGGACAUGAAAGCUGUUUUCCUAAUUGGUUUAUUUAAUGCCAUUAUUAGCUGGAGUUUGUAGAUAAGAUUGACAAGCCUGCACCUUCCCUGAA